CCUACGGGGGGCUGCAGUGAGGAAUAUUGGUCAAUGGACGAGAGUCUGAACCAGCCAAGUAGCGUGAAGGAUGACUGCCCUAUGGGUUGUAAACUUCUUUUAUAUGGGAAUAAAAUGUUCCACGUGUGGGAUUUUGUAUGUCCCAUAUGAAUAAGGAUCGGCUAACUCCGUGCCAGCAGCCGCGGUAAUACGGAGGCUCCGAGCGUUAUCCGGAUUUAUUGGGUUUAAUGGGAGCGUAGGUGGAUUGUUAAGUCAGUUGUGAAAGUUUGCGGCUCAACCGUAAAAUUGCAGUUGAAACUGGCAGUCUUGAGUACAGUAGAGGUGGGCGGAAUUCGUGGUGUAGCGGUGAAAUGCUUAGAUAUCACGAAGAACUCCGAUUGCGAAGGCAGCUCACUGGACUGCAACUGACACUGAGGCUCGAAAGUGUGGGUAGCAAACAGGAUUAGAUACCCGAGUAGUC
This 460-nucleotide ribosomal RNA is filed under the name uncultured bacterium. RNAcentral describes it as "partial 16S ribosomal RNA". It matches the Rfam family "Bacterial small subunit ribosomal RNA", at positions 338 to 795 of the family's 1533-position model. The record is from RNAcentral.